GAACUAUGGGUCCGAGAGAUUGGAUCCUUCACUUCGGGUGGGUUCCACACAGGUGCUGCAUGGCUGUCGUCAGCUCGUGUCGUGAGAUGUUGGGUUAAGUCCCGCAACGAGCGCAACCCUCAUCGUCAGUUGCCAUCAUUUGGUUGGGCACUCUGACGAAACUGCCGGUGACAAGCCGGAGGAAGGUGGGGAUGACGUCAAGUCCUCAUGGCCCUUACGGGCUGGGCUACACACGUGCUACAAUGGUGGUGACAAUGAGUUGCGAGCUCGCGAGAGUUAGCUAAUCUCCAAAAGCCAUCUCAGUUCGGAUUGCACUCUGCAACUCGAGUGCAUGAAGUCGGAAUCGCUAGUAAUCGUGGAUCAGCAUGCCACGGUGAAUACGU
RNAcentral lists this ribosomal RNA (383 nucleotides) under uncultured bacterium. RNAcentral describes it as "bacterial SSU rRNA". It matches the Rfam family "Bacterial small subunit ribosomal RNA", at positions 990 to 1371 of the family's 1533-position model. The record is from RNAcentral.